UACGUAGGUGGCAAGCGUUGUCCGGAUUUACUGGGCGUAAAGAGCGCGCAGGCGGUCGUUCAAGUCGCGUGUGAAAGCCCCCGGCUCAACUGGGGAGGGUCACGCGACACUGAUCGACUCGAAGGCAGGAGAGGGUAGUGGAAUUCCCGGUGUAGUGGUGAAAUGCGUAGAUGUCGGGAGGAACACCAGUGGCGAAGGCGACUACCUGGCCUGUUCUUGACGCUGAGGCGCGAAAGCUAGGGGAGCAAACGGG
RNAcentral lists this ribosomal RNA (253 nucleotides) under uncultured bacterium. RNAcentral describes it as "partial 16S ribosomal RNA". It matches the Rfam family "Bacterial small subunit ribosomal RNA", at positions 524 to 776 of the family's 1533-position model. The record is from RNAcentral.